GAUGAAGAACGUAGCGAAAUGCGAUACUUGGUGUGAAUUGCAGAAUCCCGUGAACCAUCGAGUCUUUGAACGCAAGUUGCGCCCGAAGCCAUUAGGCCGAGGGCACGCCUGCCUGGGCGUCACACGUCGUUGCCCCCCCCCAUCUACUCCUUCGGGAUUGCGGGGGGCGGAUGAUGGCCUCCCGUGCGCCUCGCCGCGCGGUUGGCAUAAAUGCCAAGUCCUCGGCGACGCACGCCACGACAAUCGGUGGUUGCGAAACCUCGGUUGCCCGUCGUGUGCGGUCGUCGCGCAUCGAGGGCUCGAAAAAAUUGCCGGGUUCCGGCUCGGCUUUCAACGCGACCCCAGGUCAGGCGGGGUUACCCGCUGAAUUUAAGCAUAUCAAUAAGCGGAGGA
This 393-nucleotide unclassified non-coding RNA is filed under the name soil metagenome. RNAcentral describes it as "partial contains 5.8S ribosomal RNA, internal transcribed spacer 2, and large subunit ribosomal RNA". The stretch from base 1 to 122 matches the Rfam family "5.8S ribosomal RNA", at positions 35 to 154 of the family's 154-position model. The record is from RNAcentral.